UGAGGAAUAUUGGUCAAUGGGCGGAAGCCUGAACCAGCCAAGUCGCGUGAGGGAAGACGGUCCUAUGGAUUGUAAACCUCUUUUGUCGGGGAGCAAAGCCGCUCACGUGUGAGCGGAAGGAGAGUACCCGAAGAAAAUGCAUCGGCUAACUCCGUGCCAGCAGCCGCGGUAAUACGGAGGAUGCGAGCGUUAUCCGGAUUUAUUGGGUUUAAAGGGUGCGUAGGCGGAAGAUUAAGUCAGCGGUAAAAUGUCGGUGCCCAACGCCGGCCGGCCGUUGAAACUGAUUUUCUUGAGUGGGCGAGAAGUAUGCGGAAUGCGUGGUGUAGCGGUGAAAUGCAUAGAGAUCACGCAGAACUCCGAUUGCGAAGGCAGCAUACCGGCGCCGACUGACGCUGAGGCACGAAAGCGUGGGGAUCAAACAGGAUUAGAUACC
RNAcentral lists this ribosomal RNA (433 nucleotides) under uncultured bacterium. RNAcentral describes it as "bacterial SSU rRNA". It matches the Rfam family "Bacterial small subunit ribosomal RNA", at positions 355 to 786 of the family's 1533-position model. The record is from RNAcentral.